RNAcentral lists this ribosomal RNA (2906 nucleotides) under Campylobacter coli. RNAcentral describes it as "bacterial LSU rRNA". It matches the Rfam family "Bacterial large subunit ribosomal RNA". Lineage: Bacteria; Pseudomonadati; Campylobacterota; Epsilonproteobacteria; Campylobacterales; Campylobacteraceae. The record is from RNAcentral.
GUAAGCUACUAAGAGCGAAUGGUGGAUGCCUUGACUGGUAAAGGCGAUGAAGGACGUACUAGACUGCGAUAAGCUACGGGGAGCUGUCAAGAAGCUUUGAUCCGUAGAUUUCCGAAUGGGGCAACCCAAUGUAUAGAGAUAUACAUUACCUAUAUAGGAGCGAACGAGGGGAAUUGAAACAUCUUAGUACCCUCAGGAAAAGAAAUCAAUAGAGAUUGCGUCAGUAGCGGCGAGCGAAAGCGCAAGAGGGCAAACCCAGUGCUUGCACUGGGGGUUGUAGGACUGCAAUGUGCAAGAGGUGAGUUUAGCAGAACAUUCUGGAAAGUAUAGCCAUAGAGGGUGAUAGUCCCGUAUGCGAAAAACAAACCUUAGCUAGCAGUAUCCUGAGUAGGGCGGGACACGAGAAAUCCUGUCUGAAGCUGGGUCGACCACGAUCCAACCCUAAAUACUAAUACCAGAUCGAUAGUGCACAAGUACCGUGAGGGAAAGGUGAAAAGAACUGAGGUGAUCAGAGUGAAAUAGAACCUGAAACCAUUUGCUUACAAUCAUUCAGAGCACUAUGUAGCAAUACAGUGUGAUGGACUGCCUUUUGCAUAAUGAGCCUGCGAGUUGUGGUGUCUGGCAAGGUUAAGCAAACGCGAAGCCGUAGCGAAAGCGAGUCUGAAUAGGGCGCUUAGUCAGAUGCUGCAGACCCGAAACGAAGUGAUCUAUCCAUGAGCAAGUUGAAGCUAGUGUAAGAACUAGUGGAGGACUGAACCCAUAGGCGUUGAAAAGCCCCGGGAUGACUUGUGGAUAGGGGUGAAAGGCCAAUCAAACUUCGUGAUAGCUGGUUCUCUCCGAAAUAUAUUUAGGUAUAGCGUUGUGUCGUAAUAUAAGGGGGUAGAGCACUGAAUGGGCUAGGGCAUACACCAAUGUACCAAACCCUAUCAAACUCCGAAUACCUUAUAUGUAAUCACAGCAGUCAGGCGGCGAGUGAUAAAAUCCGUCGUCAAGAGGGAAACAACCCAGACUACCAGCUAAGGUCCCUAAAUCUUACUUAAGUGGAAAACGAUGUGAAGUUACUUAAACAACCAGGAGGUUGGCUUAGAAGCAGCCAUCCUUUAAAGAAAGCGUAAUAGCUCACUGGUCUAGUGAUUUUGCGCGGAAAAUAUAACGGGGCUAAAGUAAGUACCGAAGCUGUAGACUUGACUUUGUCAAGUGGUAGGAGAGCGUUCUAUUUGCGCCGAAGGUAUACCGGUAAGGAGUGCUGGAGCGAAUAGAAGUGAGCAUGCAGGCAUGAGUAGCGAUAAUUAAUGUGAGAAUCAUUAACGCCGUAAACCCAAGGUUUCCUACGCGAUGCUCGUCAUCGUAGGGUUAGUCGGGUCCUAAGUCGAGUCCGAAAGGGGUAGACGAUGGCAAAUUGGUUAAUAUUCCAAUACCAACAUUAGUGUGCGAUGGAAGGACGCUUAGGGCUAAGGGGGCUAGCGGAUGGAAGUGCUAGUCUAAGGUCGUAGGUGCUUAUACAGGCAAAUCCGUAUAAGAAUACACCGAGAACUGAAAGGCUUUUUGAAGUCUUCGGAUGGAUAGAAGAACCCCUGAUGCCGUCGAGCCAAGAAAAGUUUCUAAGUUUAGCUAAUGUUGCCCGUACCGUAAACCGACACAGGUGGGUGGGAUGAGUAUUCUAAGGCGCGUGGAAGAACUCUCUUUAAGGAACUCUGCAAAAUAGCACCGUAUCUUCGGUAUAAGGUGUGGUUCGCUUCGUAUUAGGAUUUACUCCGAAAGCGAAGAAACUUACAACAAAGAGUCCCUCCCGACUGUUUACCAAAAACACAGCACUCUGCUAACUCGUAAGAGGAUGUAUAGGGUGUGACGCCUGCCCGGUGCUCGAAGGUUAAUUGAUGGGGUUAGCAUUAGCGAAGCUCUUGAUCGAAGCCCGAGUAAACGGCGGCCGUAACUAUAACGGUCCUAAGGUAGCGAAAUUCCUUGUCGGUUAAAUACCGACCUGCAUGAAUGGCGUAACGAGAUGGGAGCUGUCUCAAAGAGGGAUCCAGUGAAAUUGUAGUGGAGGUGAAAAUUCCUCCUACCCGCGGCAAGACGGAAAGACCCCGUGGACCUUUACUACAGCUUGACACUGCUAUUUGGAUAAGAAUGUGCAGGAUAGGUGGGAGGCUUUGAGUAUAUGACGCCAGUUGUAUAUGAGCCAUUGUUGAGAUACCACUCUUUCUUAUUUGGGUAGCUAACCAGCUUGAGUUAUCCUCAAGUGGGACAAUGUCUGGUGGGUAGUUUGACUGGGGCGGUCGCCUCCCAAAUAAUAACGGAGGCUUACAAAGGUUGGCUCAGAACGGUUGGAAAUCGUUCGUAGAGUAUAAAGGUAUAAGCCAGCUUAACUGCAAGACAUACAAGUCAAGCAGAGACGAAAGUCGGUCUUAGUGAUCCGGUGGUUCUGUGUGGAAGGGCCAUCGCUCAAAGGAUAAAAGGUACCCCGGGGAUAACAGGCUGAUCUCCCCCAAGAGCUCACAUCGACGGGGAGGUUUGGCACCUCGAUGUCGGCUCAUCGCAUCCUGGGGCUGGAGCAGGUCCCAAGGGUAUGGCUGUUCGCCAUUUAAAGCGGUACGCGAGCUGGGUUCAGAACGUCGUGAGACAGUUCGGUCCCUAUCUGCCGUGGGCGUAAGAAGAUUGAAGAGAUUUGACCCUAGUACGAGAGGACCGGGUUGAACAAACCACUGGUGUAGCUGUUGUUCUGCCAAGAGCAUCGCAGCGUAGCUAAGUUUGGAAAGGAUAAACGCUGAAAGCAUCUAAGCGUGAAGCCAACUCUAAGAUGAAUCUUCUCUAAGCUCUCUAGAAGACUACUAGUUUGAUAGGCUGGGUGUGUAAUGGAUGAAAGUCCUUUAGCUGACCAGUACUAAUAGAGCGUUUGGCUUAUCUUU